UGGGGAAUAUUGGGCAACGGGCGCAAGCCUGACCCAGCAACGCCGCGUGAGGGAAGAAGGCUUUCGGGUUGUAAACCUCUGUCCUUGGUGACGAAAAAAAUGACGGUAGCCAAGGAGGAAGCCCCGGCUAACUACGUGCCAGCAGCCGCGGUAAUACGUAGGGGGCGAGCGUUGUCCGGAAUUACUGGGCGUAAAGGGUGCGUAGGUGGCCUUUUAAGUUGGACGUGAAAUCCCCGGGCUUAACUUGGGUGGUGCAUCUAAUACUGGAGGGCUAGAGUGCAGGAGAGGGAAGCGGAAUUCCUAGUGUAGCGGUGAAAUGCGUAGAUAUUAGGAGGAACACCAGUGGCGAAGGCGGCUUUCUGGACUGUAACUGACACUGAGGCACGAAAGCGUGGGGAGCAAACA
This 405-nucleotide ribosomal RNA is filed under the name uncultured prokaryote. Its description in RNAcentral is "bacterial SSU rRNA". It matches the Rfam family "Bacterial small subunit ribosomal RNA", at positions 355 to 774 of the family's 1533-position model. The record is from RNAcentral.